GGUAAGAUGACUGAGAUUAGGUGAUAAAUUGUAAAUUUAUUAAGAGGAUUAUUUCCUUUUUACCA
This 65-nucleotide transfer RNA is filed under the name Phyllocrania paradoxa. Its description in RNAcentral is "tRNA-Tyr". The record is from RNAcentral. Lineage: Eukaryota; Metazoa; Arthropoda; Insecta; Mantodea; Hymenopodidae.